GCCCGUGUUUUUUGAAUUUGAAUAAUAGUGUUGGCACUCUGUGAUGGGUUUCUUUGCGUGCGUAUCUCAUUUACCUUGCUUUUUUGUUUUUUAUUGACUUUGCUUGUUUUGUUAUAAAAACGGGGCCAUUGGCCCAGUGGGUGAGGGGAUGGACUCCUACAUGACCCCCAAGGUCAGGGGUUCGAGCCAUGCCAGUGCACCCUGACCAUUUUCCUUUUUC
Molecule: long non-coding RNA, 220 nt
Filed under: Lathyrus oleraceus (garden pea)
Lineage: Eukaryota; Viridiplantae; Streptophyta; Magnoliopsida; Fabales; Fabaceae
Description: Pisum sativum (pea) long non-coding RNA (PSAT_LNC013422)
Source: RNAcentral